AUUGAACGCUGGCGGCAGGCUUAACACAUGCAAGUCGAGCGGGGGAAGGUAGCUUGCUACUGGACCUAGCGGCGGACGGGUGAGUAAUGCUUAGGCAUCUGCCUAUUAGUGGGGGACAACAUCUCGAAAGGGAUGCUAAUACCGCAUACGUCCUACGGGAGAAAGCAGGGGAUCUUCGGACCUUGCGCUAAUAGAUGAGCCUAAGUCGGAUUAGCUAGUUGGUGGGGUAAAGGCCUACCAAGGCGACGAUCUGUAGCGGGUCUGAGAGGAUGAUCCGCCACACUGGGACUGGGACACGGCCCAGACUCCUACGGGAGGCAGCAGUGGGGAAUAUUGGACAAUGGGGGGAACCCUGAUCCAGCCAUGCCGCGUGUGUGAAGAAGGCCUUAUGGUUGUAAAGCACUUUAAGCGAGGAGGAGGCUACUUUAGUUAAUACCUAGAGAUAGUGGACGUUACUCGCAGAAUAAGCACCGGCUAACUCUGUGCCAGCAGCCGCCGUAA
Molecule: ribosomal RNA, 501 nt
Filed under: uncultured bacterium
Lineage: Bacteria
Description: partial 16S ribosomal RNA
Rfam family: Bacterial small subunit ribosomal RNA
Source: RNAcentral